GGAAAGAAAACCUCCGCCCUAAUAUGGUGGGGGGAUGACGGUACCGGAAGAAUAAGCACCGGCUAACUACGUGCCAGCAGCCGCGGUAAUACGUAGGGUGCAAGCGUUAAUCGGAAUUACUGGGCGUAAAGCGUGCGCAGGCGGUCCGCUAAGACAGAUGUGAAAUCCCCGGGCUUAACCUGGGAACUGCAUUUGUGACUGGCGGGCUAGAGUAUGGCAGAGGGGGGUAGAAUUCCACGUGUAGCAGUGAAAUGCGUAGAGAUGUGGAGGAAUACCGAUGGCGAAGGCAGCCCCCUGGGCCAAUACUGACGCUCAUGCACGAAAGCGUGGGGAGCAAACAGGAUUAGAUACCCUGGUAGUCCACGCCCUAAACGAUGUCAACUAGUUGUCGGGUCUUCAUUGACUUGGUAACGUAGCUAACGCGUGAAGUUGACCGCCUGGGGAGUACGGUCGCAAGAUUAAAACUCAAAGGAAUUGACGGGGACCCGCACAAGCGGUGGAUGAUGUGGAUUAAUUCGAUGCAACGCGAAAAACCUUACCUACCCUUGACAUGUA
Molecule: ribosomal RNA, 555 nt
Filed under: Paraburkholderia sp.
Lineage: Bacteria; Pseudomonadati; Pseudomonadota; Betaproteobacteria; Burkholderiales; Burkholderiaceae
Description: bacterial SSU rRNA
Rfam family: Bacterial small subunit ribosomal RNA
Source: RNAcentral